GACGAACGCUGGCGGCGUGCUUAACACAUGCAAGUCGAACGAUGAAGAAGAGAAACGCGAACUUCGGUUCAACUUUCACUUCGGAUUAGUGGCAGACGGGUGAGUAACGCGUGAGCAACCUACCUCUUACAAAGGGAUAGCCUCGGUAAACCGUGAUUAAUACCAUAUGACACAUUCAUAAGGCAUCUUAAGAAUGUUAAAGCUACGGCGGUAAGAGAUGGGCUCGCGUCCCAUUAGCUAGUUGGUGAGGUAACGGCCCACCAAGGCGACGAUGGGUAACCGGCCUGAGAGGGUGAACGGUCACAUUGGAACUGAGACACGGUCCAAACUCCUACGGGAGGCAGCAGUGGGGAAUAUUGCACAAUGGAGGGAACUCUGAUGCAGCGACGCCGCGUGAGCGAUGAAGGAAUUCGUUUCGUAAAGCUCUGUUCUAUGGGAAGAAAAGGACUGUACCAUAGGAGAAAGCCCCGGCUAAAUACGUG
This 482-nucleotide ribosomal RNA is filed under the name uncultured bacterium. RNAcentral's name for it is "partial 16S ribosomal RNA". It matches the Rfam family "Bacterial small subunit ribosomal RNA", at positions 28 to 507 of the family's 1533-position model. The record is from RNAcentral.